This 508-nucleotide ribosomal RNA is filed under the name uncultured bacterium. Its description in RNAcentral is "partial 16S ribosomal RNA". It matches the Rfam family "Bacterial small subunit ribosomal RNA", at positions 28 to 507 of the family's 1533-position model. The record is from RNAcentral.
GACGAACGCUGGCGGCGUGCCUAAUACAUGCCAGUCGAACGCUUCUUUCCUCCCGAGUGCUUGCACUCAAUUGGAAAGAGGAGUGGCGGACGGGUGAGUAACACGUGGGUAACCUACCCAUCAGGGGGGGAUAACACUUGGAAACAGGUGCUAAUACCGCAUAACAGUUUAUGCCGCAUGGCAUAAGAGUGAAAGGCGCUUUCGGGUGUCGCUGAUGGAUGGACCCGCGGUGCAUUAGCUAGUCGGUGAGGUAACGGCUCACCAAGGCAACGAUGCAUAGCCGGCCUGAGAGGGUGAUCAGCCACACUGGGACUGAGACACGGCCCAGACUCCUACGGGAGGCAGCAGUGGGGAAUCUUGGACAAUGGGCGAAAGUCUGACCGAGCAACGCCGCGUGAGUGAAGAAGGUUUUCGGAUCGUAAAACUCUGUUGUUAGGGAAGAACAAGUGCGUUAGAAACUGAACGUCUCCUGACGGUAUCUAAACAGAAAGCCACGGCUAACUACGUG